AAAUCCUCCUCCCUCCCAAAAUUCUCAUUCCCUCGUAACUUAGAGAAAAAAAAAAGAAGAAGAUAACCCUAGCCCGUUUCGUUCUUCUUCUUCUUCUUCUUCUUCUUCCGAGCUCACUUUCCUUCCUCCCAGCCCCCACCAUCGUCGAAGGCAGAAACCUCCACUCUAUUCACAGCGUAUCCCAACUCAGUCUCUCUUCACUGUGUGCGCCGUCGCUGCUUCUUCGCUCCUGGUUGUGGGUCAUCGUUGCUCCGCUCCUUGCCGUGGGUCGUCGCUGCUUCUUUGCCUCCUCGCCAGGCUUGUUGUUGCUUCCCUUCUUUUGCGUCGUUGCUGUUGCUUCCCUGCUUCACUGCUGGGUGGUCUCUGCUCCUCUGAUUUUAGAAUAAGAAGGAAAGGAAGAAGGUGAGGGAAGUGGAAAUUCUUAAGAAAGAUCCUAAACAGCUGAAGAAACAGAUUGAGAACUUGGAAAUGAUGAGAAUAUGAAGAUAAAAUGAAGGAGAAGGGUGAGACCCUAUUAUGUUUAAGUGAGGGAUUUCUCCAUUGCUUAAAAGCAACCUUUUAACCCACUUUUUCGUUGUUAGUUUAUACAUUCUAGAAUGCCUUUUCGGCAUAAGAUGAACAUUACAAGAGAAAGCAUAAUGCUGGGGGGCUAAUUCUUCAUAUAGAUUUCGUUGUAUCCUUCUGUUUUCUUUUUUUCUUUCUUUCUUUUUAAAUUUGUUAACACUUUGUUGGGGGGUCAAAAUGCAUUAGUGUCACUUUGUGCUUUGCAUUCCUGAAACCUUGAAUGUAAUAAAAUUGAAGAGAACAUGGAAAGUAAAGACUUUCACCAAAGGCUUGGAAUUCUUCAAGAUAGUAGCUGACCUUACUGAAAGUGAAGGUGAAAAACAUUACAAGAUGAGCGAACAAAUUAGAGAAGAAUUUUUUUUUUGGUUUUUAAAGGAUGAGAAGAAUAUGUACUAUAUUAGUGAAUAUUUUUGUUUUCACAGUAUAAUAUUUUGAUGUCUUUUGUAAUUUUUUUAAUAGCUUCUACCUGGUAUUACAUGUAAUGGAUAAAUUAUACCAUAUUUUGAUUUGUCUUGUUUGGACUAAAAACAUAUAUAGUUUAUAAUGUAAAUUUUAUGAUUUAGAUUUA
Non-coding RNA from Arachis ipaensis, 1132 nucleotides. The record is from RefSeq and is a predicted model, not a curated record. NCBI's taxonomy places the organism in Eukaryota, Viridiplantae, Streptophyta, Magnoliopsida, Fabales, Fabaceae.